Long non-coding RNA from Telopea speciosissima, 103 nucleotides. RefSeq lists it as uncharacterized. The transcript is spliced from 5 exons. The record is from RefSeq and is a predicted model, not a curated record. Lineage: Eukaryota; Viridiplantae; Streptophyta; Magnoliopsida; Proteales; Proteaceae.
AGCGAGAGAAAAUAGGUAUACGGGAGAAGAGAGAGAAAAUAUGAAGCAUUCUUGGCUACACAAUUCAAAUCCAAAUUCUGUAUUAUAUUCCAUUAACCAUUAU